This 382-nucleotide ribosomal RNA is filed under the name Phoberus pusillus. Its description in RNAcentral is "partial 16S ribosomal RNA". The record is from RNAcentral. Lineage: Eukaryota; Metazoa; Arthropoda; Insecta; Coleoptera; Trogidae.
UAAUUUAAAGUCUAGCCUGCCCAAUGAAUAAUUUAAAUGGCCGCGGUAUAUUGACCGUGCUAAGGUAGCAUAAUCAUUAGUUUUUUAAUUGAGAACUGGUAUGAAUGGUUGGACAAAGAAAUUACUGUCUCAAGUUUAAUUUAAUUAGAAUUUUAUUUUUAAGUUAAAAAGCUUAAAUAUUUUUAAAAGACGAGAAGACCCUAUAGAGUUUUAUAUUAUAAUUUGAUUUUAAUUUAAAGAAUUUUAUAUUUUAUUUUUUUUAUAGUAUUUUGUUGGGGUGACAAAAAAAUUAAAAUAACUUUUUUAUUAAAUUUACAUUAAUAAAUGAUUAAUUGAUCCAUUAUUUAUGAUUAAAAGAUUAAAUUACCUUAGGGAUAACAGC